AAUGUGGAUCUUCCAAAUUUUGCUUCGAGAAUCAAUUGGAGGGCAAGUCUGGUGCCAGCAGCCGCGGUAAUUCCAGCUCCAAUAGCGUAUAUUAAAGUUGUUGCAGUUAAAAAGCUCGUAGUUGUUGGGGUUGGGAAAUUUGAAGAAUCUUCACUGGUCUUCAGACUUCCUAAAAGCUGUUUCAAUCGGCUUUGUGUUACUUUGAGAAAAUUUGAGUGUUCAUCUCGGGCAAAUUGCUUACAUAAUGUACCAUGGAAUAACUCUGUGGCCCUAAUUCUGUCUUUUGGCUUACAUUAUUGGGGUUCGUGGUUGAAAGGAAUAGUUGGGGGCAUUCGUACUGAACAGUUAGAGGUGAAAUUCUUAGAUUUGUUCAAGACGAACCAGUGCGAAAGCAUCUGCCAAGGAUGUUUUCAUUAAUCAAGAACGAAAGUUAGGGGAUCGAAGACGAUCAGAUACCGUCGUAGUCUUAACUGUAAACAAUGCCGACUAGAGAUCGGUGGAAUUCGAAUUGGAAUCCUUCGGCAUCUACAGAGAAAUCAAAGUUCUUGGGUUCUGGGGGGAGUAUGGUCGCAAGGCUGAAACUUAAAGGAAUUGACGGAAGGGCACCACCAGGAGUGGAGCCUGCGGCUUAAUUUGACCCAACACGGGAAAACUUACCAGGUCCGGACAUAGGUAUGAUUGACAGACUGAGAGCCCUUUCUUGAUUCUAUGGGUGGUGGUGCAUGGCCGUUCUUAGUUGGUGGAUUGAUUUGUCUGGUUGAUUCCGACAACGAACGAGACCUUACUUUCUAAUUAGAUCCAAGACAUACGUGUUUCCUGGGUCGCCUUAGCAGAACUUUGUGCGUUGCAGCACAAUGAAGCACAGGCAAUAACAGGUCUGUGAUGCCCUUAGAUGUUCUGGGCUGCACGCGUGCUACAAUGAAACUUACCAUAAGUUGCGAUGUCGAAAAGCUAUGCAAAUCUUUGAAUGCGUUUCGUGACAGGGACAGUUGAUUGUAAUUUUUCGACUCGAACGAGGAAUUCCUUGUAAUCGUGAUUCAUCAUAUCGCGCUGAAUACGUCCCUGCCCUUUGUACACACCGCCCGUCGCUCCUACCGAUUGGGCGAUCCGGUGAAUUAUUUGGAGUUUUGACGAUUUCUUUCGGAAACCUGCCAAUUCAAAUUUUUGU
This 1168-nucleotide ribosomal RNA is filed under the name metagenome. Its description in RNAcentral is "bacterial SSU rRNA". It matches the Rfam family "Eukaryotic small subunit ribosomal RNA", at positions 513 to 1760 of the family's 1831-position model. The record is from RNAcentral.